UCUCCGUUGGUGAACCAGCGGAGGGAUCAUUACAGGACUCGCAAGACUCCUACCACCCUGUGAACUUAACUAUAAGCACGUUGCUUCGGCGGGUGUCUCGGAGGGGGUUCUCCCUCCCCGAGACGCUAAACCCGCCGGCAGCCUACUAUACUCUGUCUCUUUGCGUUGGCAUCUCGAGUACAAUCAAACAAGUUAAAACUUUCAACAACGGAUCUCUUGGUUCUG
RNAcentral lists this unclassified non-coding RNA (225 nucleotides) under plant metagenome. RNAcentral describes it as "partial contains small subunit ribosomal RNA, internal transcribed spacer 1, and 5.8S ribosomal RNA". The record is from RNAcentral.